This 427-nucleotide ribosomal RNA is filed under the name uncultured bacterium. RNAcentral's name for it is "partial 16S ribosomal RNA". It matches the Rfam family "Bacterial small subunit ribosomal RNA", at positions 355 to 774 of the family's 1533-position model. The record is from RNAcentral.
UGGGGAAUUUUGGACAAUGGGCGCAAGCCUGAUCCAGCAAUGCCGCGUGCAGGAUGAAGGCCUUCGGGUUGUAAACUGCUUUUGUACGGAACGAAACGGCGAGCUCUAAUACAGUUUGCUAAUGACGGUACCGUAAGAAUAAGCACCGGCUAACUACGUGCCAGCAGCCGCGGUAAUACGUAGGGGGCAAGCGUUAAUCGGAAUUACUGGGCGUAAAGCGUGCGCACGCGGUUAUGUAAGACAGAUGUGAAAUCCCCGGGCUUAACCUGGGAACUGCAUUUGUGACUGCAUAGCUAGAGUACGGUAGAGGGGGAUGGAAUUCCGCGUGUAGCAGUGAAAUGCGUAGAUAUGCGGAGGAACACCGAUGGCGAAGGCAAUCCCCUGGACCUGUACUGACGCUCAUGCACGAAAGCGUGGGGAGCAAACA